This 290-nucleotide ribosomal RNA is filed under the name uncultured Verrucophora. RNAcentral describes it as "partial 28S ribosomal RNA". It matches the Rfam family "Eukaryotic large subunit ribosomal RNA", at positions 80 to 388 of the family's 3401-position model. Lineage: Eukaryota; Dictyochophyceae; Florenciellales. The record is from RNAcentral.
GUGGUAGCGGCGAGCGACGCGGAACGAGUUUUGGGGUCCACUGGGUUACCAGGAUGUGCUCUUUUUUAUUUUGUAUCAAAAAAAAUGGGCAGCACGCUUGAAGGCGUGACAUUGCAGGGUGCUAGUCCCGUCCCCCUUUUUUUCGAUACAGUAUAAAAAACAAAAGUAGUGCGUCUUGGGAAUGACGUGCGAGGGCGGUGGUAGACGCGAUCGUGGGCUAAAUAAGCUUGUGAGACCGAUAGUGGACAAGUACUGUGAAGGAAAGAUGAAAACGACUCUCAACAGAGAGU